UACGAAGGGGGCUAGCGUUGCUCGGAAUUACUGGGCGUAAAGGGCGCGUAGGCGGAUACUUAAGUCGGGGGUGAAAGCCCAGGGCUCAACCCCGGAACAGCCUUCGAUACUGGGUAUCUUGAGUACGGGAGAGGUGUGUGGAACUCCGAGUGUAGAGGUGAAAUUCGUAGAUAUUCGGAGGAACACCAGAAGCGAAGGCGGCUCACUGGCCCGAUACUGACGCUGAGGCGCGAAAGCGUGGGGAGCAAACAGG
This 253-nucleotide ribosomal RNA is filed under the name uncultured bacterium. RNAcentral's name for it is "partial 16S ribosomal RNA". It matches the Rfam family "Bacterial small subunit ribosomal RNA", at positions 524 to 776 of the family's 1533-position model. The record is from RNAcentral.